GUGCAGCAGUCGAGAAUCUUCCUCAAUGGGGGAAACCCUGAAGGAGCGACGCCGCGUGUAGGAUGACACUCUUCGGAGCGUAAACUACUUUUCUGAGGGAACACUAUGAUUGUACCUCAGGAAUAAGAGGCUGCUAACUUCGUGCCAGCAGCAGCGGUGAUACGAAGGCCUCAAGCGUUAUCCGGAAUUACUGGGCGCAAAGCGUCUCCAGGCCGUGAACUAAGUUGGUGGUUAAAUCUUCGGGCUCAACCCGAAAACCGCUACCAAAACUGGUUCACUAGAGUUAGAUAGAGGCGAGUGGAAUUCUCGGUGUAGCAGUUAAAUGCGUUAAUAUCGGGAAGAACACCAACUGCGAAGGCAACUCGCUGGACCUUAACUGACGCUCACAGACGAAAGCGUGGGUAGCGAACGGGAUUAGAUACCCCGGUAGUCC
Molecule: ribosomal RNA, 433 nt
Filed under: uncultured bacterium
Lineage: Bacteria
Description: bacterial SSU rRNA
Rfam family: Bacterial small subunit ribosomal RNA
Source: RNAcentral